UAGGGAAUCUUCGGCAAUGGGGGCAACCCUGACCGAGCAACGCCGCGUGAGUGAAGAAGGUUUUCGGAUCGUAAAGCUCUGUUGUUGGUGAAGAAGGAUAGAGGCAGUAACUGGUCUUUAUUUGACGGUAAUCAACCAGAAAGUCACGGCUAACUACGNGCCAG
This 164-nucleotide ribosomal RNA is filed under the name uncultured bacterium. Its description in RNAcentral is "partial 16S rRNA". It matches the Rfam family "Bacterial small subunit ribosomal RNA", at positions 355 to 511 of the family's 1533-position model. The record is from RNAcentral.